GACGAACGCUGGCGGCGUGCUUAACACAUGCAAGUCGAACGGAAAGGCCCCUUUGGGGGUUCUCGAGUGGCGAACGGGUGAGUAACACGGGAGUAACCUGCCCUUUACUUCGGGAUAACUUCAGGAAACUGGGGCGAAUACCGGAUAGGAAUCCUUGCUGCAUGGUGGGGGUUGGAAAGCUUCGGCGGGUUUGGGUGGACUCGCGGCUUAUCAGCUUGUUGGUGGGGUAGUGGCUUACCAAGGCUUUGCCGGGUAGCCGGCCUGAGAGGGUGAGCGGCCACAUUGGGACUGAGGUGCGGCCCAGGCUGCUACGGGUGGCAGCAGGGGGGAAUAUUGCACCAUGGGCGGAAGCCGGAUGAAGAAAGGCCGCGUGCGGGAUGGCGGCCUUCGGGUUGUAAACCGCUUUCAGCAGGGGCGAAGCUUGUGGUGACGGUACCUGCAGAAGAAGCACCGGCUAACUACGUG
Molecule: ribosomal RNA, 465 nt
Filed under: uncultured bacterium
Lineage: Bacteria
Description: partial 16S ribosomal RNA
Rfam family: Bacterial small subunit ribosomal RNA
Source: RNAcentral